UGCAAGUCGAACGAACCCUUCGGGGUUAGUGGCGCACGGGUGCGUAACGCGUGGGAAUCUGCCCUUUGCUUCGGAAUAACAGUUAGAAAUGACUGCUAAUACCGGAUGAUGUCUUCGGACCAAAGAUUUAUCGGCAAGGGAUGAGCCCGCGUAGGAUUAGGUAGUUGGUGGGGUAAAGGCCUACCAAGCCGACGAUCCUUAGCUGGUCUGAGAGGAUGAUCAGCCACACUGGGACUGAGACACGGCCCAGACUCCUACGGGAGGCAGCAGUGGGGAAUAUUGGACAAUGGGCGCAAGCCUGAUCCAGCAAUGCCGCGUGAGUGAUGAAGGCCUUCGGGUCGUAAAGCUCUUUUACCAGGGAUGAUAAUGACAGUACCUGGAGAAUAAGCUCCGGCUAACUCCGUGCCAGCAGCCGCGGUAAUACGGAGGGAGCUAGCGUUGUUCGGAAUUACUGGGCGUAAAGCGCACGUAGGCGGCGACACAAGUCAGAGGUGAAAGCCCGGGGCUCAACCCCGGAACUGCCUUUGAAACUAGGUUGCUAGAAUCUUGGAGAGGUCAGUGGAAUUCCGAGUGUAGAGGUGAAUUCGUAGAUAUUCGGAAGACACCAGUGGCGAAGGCGACUGACUGGACAAGUAUUGACGCUGAG
Molecule: ribosomal RNA, 646 nt
Filed under: uncultured Alphaproteobacteria bacterium
Lineage: Bacteria; Pseudomonadati; Pseudomonadota; Alphaproteobacteria
Description: bacterial SSU rRNA
Rfam family: Bacterial small subunit ribosomal RNA
Source: RNAcentral